UCUAGAAGCAGACACAAGACAGCAAAAGUAAACGUAUAACAAGGAUUCCUGUGUACCUCAAUUGAAGAAAUGAAUCAAGGGUGUGAGAAAUGAUUUCCAGGUCAAGCAGCAUUAAUAGAUGAAUGGAAGUCUUGAAUCAUAAGAAUAUCUGCACUACUAUUAAUCUUCUCAUCAUUCCCAUCACCAAUCUCUUUCCACUUAUGACUGUGAUUGUGACUUUGUUGCUGAGACUCCACAUCUUUUUUACAUCAUGGUGACCAAAACUGGAUGCAGUAUGCAACAGAAUGCAGCAAAAGUGAAUGAAAUGCAUUCUUAAAAGAAUAAUGCCGGAGAGGAUAGAAAUCUCAACUUUAAUUUCCUGAUAGUGACUGGUAAAGGUACCUGAAGAGAAGAAUCAAGAAAAAAAAAUUGUGAUUGAUAUUCUGCAGAAUGGCUGAUGGUCAGAACAGAUUUACAGAAUUAUAUCAGAGGUGGGUUUCAGCAGGUUCUGACUAGUUCUGGAGAACCGGUAGCGGAAAUUUUCAAUAGUUCGGAGAACAGGUAGUAAAAAUUCUGACUGGCCCCACCCCCAUCUGUUCUCUGCCUCCUGAAUCACAGCUGAUUAGAAGGAAAUGGGGAUUUUGCAGUAACCUUCCCAUGGAUUGGGGAGGGAAUGGAGAUUUUACAGUAUCCUUCCCUUGCCGCGCUCACCAAGCCAUGCCCACCAAGCCAUGCCACGCCCACCAAGCCACACCCACAGAACAGGUAGUAAAAAAUUUUGAAACUCACCACUGAAUUACAUGAAUUAAUUUUUGCAACGAAUUGAGGAAAUAAAGUCAUAUCUACUGUGUCUAAUAUUUCAUUGUAUCAGUCCUCAUCCUUCUCCUCACCAACUUUCCAGAUAAAUUGGUUUGGGCAAAAGUACUUGAGGGCGAGGAAGGAAAGUAACACAGGAACCCAUUUUCUCCCCAGAGAAAGCUCUCUGGCACAUUAGCAGCCUAAUUCAUUCAGCAACCCUGUUCCUUUUGCUUUUCUAGGCUGCUCCUAUCCUUUUGGGAUUUACUAUGUAAUGGUAAUUAUAUAAUGAUAAUUUAGAGACCUACUUAGGGUGUGAAAGCUAGAAAACUCUUGGAUUUUUAUUUUUUUCAGAAUUUGACCUGCAACUUCUCUCAACAACGUUUUUUUUCAUUACUUUUUACUGUUAGUUUUAAAUGUGAUUUUCGAGUCCCUUAACUGCCUUUCAUCAUUCUUUCCAAUUUAAUAUUAUUUUAAAAUGGAAGGAUAUGUUUAAGG
Ahaetulla prasina is the source of this 1272-nucleotide long non-coding RNA. RefSeq lists it as uncharacterized. NCBI's taxonomy places the organism in Eukaryota, Metazoa, Chordata, Lepidosauria, Squamata, Colubridae. The record is from RefSeq and is a predicted model, not a curated record. The transcript is spliced from 3 exons.